GAUGAGGUGGCCGAGUGGUUAAGGCGAUGGACUGCUAAUCCAUUGUGCUCUGCCUGCGUGGGUCCGAAUCCCAUCUUCGUUG
RNAcentral lists this transfer RNA (82 nucleotides) under Clytia hemisphaerica. Its description in RNAcentral is "tRNA-Ser for anticodon GCU". It matches the Rfam family "tRNA". From Rfam's summary of the family: Transfer RNA (tRNA) molecules are approximately 80 nucleotides in length. Their secondary structure includes four short double-helical elements and three loops (D, anti-codon, and T loops). Lineage: Eukaryota; Metazoa; Cnidaria; Hydrozoa; Leptothecata; Clytiidae. The record is from Rfam by way of RNAcentral.